GGUCUUUAUCUUUCACUUUAUUUUUAUCCAAAAGCACAACUAAAGCAAACGCCACCGCUCCACGGAGGCCGCCAUAUGACAUCACCACUUGGUCGAUGAUCCCGAGCGGGACGAUGCGGUAAUAGUUCAGCAUCCAGGCUUGUGAUGAGGAUAAAAUGGAAGAAAGGAGGAGAGGAGGACGCUGUCAGCUGCUAUCGGGUCCUCAUUGGGUAGAAAGGUGUGAGUAUAAAUGAAGUUGGAUCCAACCAGUUUUUCCACCGGUGAAAAAGGCAGGAGGGAAUUUUCUCGUUCACCAUCAAAACAGUUAUGCUGGGGAUCAUGAGAUCCACACAAGGCAAAGGCCAGAGGUUGUAAUGAGGACGGGAAUCGAGUGAGACGGAACAAAAACGCUGGCUGGAUCCAUCUUGGUGUCUCCCCACCCAUCAAAAGUAUUAGCCAGCUUAGUAUAAUUAGGUUUCCUUCAAAAAAUAAAAGGUUUCAAUUGUGAGGAUCCGCCCACAGCAAAAAAGACAUGGGGCUCUAAUCCACAAAAUCUUACAAUGGAUUAAAGUUUGCUAUUCUUUAAGGCGUGGUGAGACUCCUGUUGAGUUCUGCCACAACAGACUAAGACGCUGCUCCUUUGAAACUAAGAAGACCCAGUUGAUCGGCUCAGACUUACGCAAGGAUGGCAGAAAGAGAAAGCAACUCAGCUGUCAGGUAAGAAAGGUAGGAGACCACAAACACAAAUCCCGGCUCGAUGAUUCUGACGUGCUUGGUGAAAUGAGUGAUGAGUGAGAGCAAGAAUGCAAAGACCACGCCGAUUAAGGUGCCUCCCAGGCUCACCACGAAGAAAGACACUGCAGGGCGAGAAAAGGAAAAAGGGGGGGUUUGGAGCUUAUGCACGCAACAACCUGAAGGCUUUACUUCCCUGCUGAACGGUGAUGAGAUGAAGCUGCGCGUUCACCUUGCUGCUAUCCAAAAAGAACUAAUCUGAGGUAAAGGAACUAGCGAUCACUCCCCAAACAGACGAUGGUUUUCAAUUGUCCGCUGAAACACUGCAGAAGGUCCAACAACCACUGUGUCAUCGGAUUAUCCAAAAUAAAGAAAGAAAUACUGCAGAAA
Molecule: long non-coding RNA, 1101 nt
Organism: Sphaerodactylus townsendi
Lineage: Eukaryota; Metazoa; Chordata; Lepidosauria; Squamata; Sphaerodactylidae
Exons: 4
Source: RefSeq, a predicted model, not a curated record